RNAcentral lists this ribosomal RNA (254 nucleotides) under uncultured bacterium. Its description in RNAcentral is "partial 16S ribosomal RNA". It matches the Rfam family "Bacterial small subunit ribosomal RNA", at positions 524 to 776 of the family's 1533-position model. The record is from RNAcentral.
UACGUAGGGUGCAAGCGUUAUCCGGAAUUAUUGGGCGUAAAGCGCGUGUAGGCGGUUUUGUAAGUCUGUCGUGAAAUCCCCCGGGCUUAACCUGGGAAUUGCGAUGGAGACUGCAAGGCUAGAAUCUGGCAGAGGGGGGUAGAAUUCCACGUGUAGCAGUGAAAUGCGUAGAGAUGUGGAGGAACACCGAUGGCGAAGGCAGCCCCCUGGGUCAAGAUUGACGCUCAUGCACGAAAGCGUGGGGAGCAAACAGG